This 700-nucleotide ribosomal RNA is filed under the name Saccharopolyspora sp. KLBMP S0055. Its description in RNAcentral is "bacterial SSU rRNA". It matches the Rfam family "Bacterial small subunit ribosomal RNA", at positions 90 to 801 of the family's 1533-position model. Lineage: Bacteria; Bacillati; Actinomycetota; Actinomycetes; Pseudonocardiales; Pseudonocardiaceae. The record is from RNAcentral.
GAUUAGUGGCGAACGGGUGAGUAACACGUGGGUAAUCUGCCCUGCACUCUGGGAUAAGCCUUGGAAACGAGGUCUAAUACCGGAUAUGACACACGGAGGCAUCUCCUGUGUGUGGAAAGUUCCGGCGGUGCAGGAUGAACCCGCGGCCUAUCAGCUUGUUGGUGGGGUAGUGGCCUACCAAGGCGACGACGGGUAGCCGGCCUGAGAGGGUGACCGGCCACACUGGGACUGAGACACGGCCCAGACUCCUACGGGAGGCAGCAGUGGGGAAUCUUGCGCAAUGGGCGAAAGCCUGACGCAGCAACGCCGCGUGGGGGAUGACGGCCUUCGGGUUGUAAACCUCUUUCGACAGGGACGAAGCUUUCGGGUGACGGUACCUGUAGAAGAAGCACCGGCUAACUACGUGCCAGCAGCCGCGGUAAUACGUAGGGUGCGAGCGUUGUCCGGAUUUAUUGGGCGUAAAGAGCUCGUAGGCGGUUUGUCGCGUCGGCCGUGAAAACCUGCAGCUUAACUGUGGGCGUGCGGUCGAUACGGGCAGACUUGAGUUCGGCAGGGGAGACUGGAAUUCCUGGUGUAGCGGUGAAAUGCGCAGAUAUCAGGAGGAACACCGGUGGCGAAGGCGGGUCUCUGGGCCGAUACUGACGCUGAGGAGCGAAAGCAUGGGGAGCGAACAGGAUUAGAUACCCUGGUAGUCCAUGCC